This 402-nucleotide ribosomal RNA is filed under the name uncultured bacterium. RNAcentral describes it as "bacterial SSU rRNA". It matches the Rfam family "Bacterial small subunit ribosomal RNA", at positions 355 to 774 of the family's 1533-position model. The record is from RNAcentral.
UGGGGAAUAUUGCACAAUGGGCGAAAGCCUGAUGCAGCAACGCCGCGUGAGUGAUGAAGGCCUUCGGGUUGUAAAGCUCUGUCUUCUGGGACGAUAAUGACGGUACCAGAGGAGGAAGCCACGGCUAACUACGUGCCAGCAGCCGCGGUAAUACGUAGGUGGCAAGCGUUGUCCGGAUUUACUGGGCGUAAAGGAUGCGUAGGCGGAUACUUAAGUCAGAUGUGAAAAUCCCGGGCUUAACUUGGGAACUGCAUUUGAAACUGGGUAUCUAGAGUGCGGGAGAGGAAAGUGGAAUUCCUAGUGUAGCGGUGAAAUGCGUAGAGAUUAGGAAGAACACCAGUGGCGAAGGCGACUUUCUGGACCGUAACUGACGCUCAGGCAUGAAAGCGUGGGGAGCAAACA